CGCGGACGGGCCAAACCGGGCUCAUAACCCGAAGGUCGCGGGUUCGAAUCCCGCCCCCGCUA
This 62-nucleotide transfer RNA is filed under the name Solirubrobacterales bacterium. RNAcentral describes it as "tRNA-Ser". Lineage: Bacteria; Bacillati; Actinomycetota; Thermoleophilia; Solirubrobacterales. The record is from RNAcentral.